CCUGGCUCACGAUGAACGCUAGCUACAGGCUUAACACAUGCAAGUCGAGGGGCAUCAGGAAGAAAGCUUGCUUUCUUUGCUGGCGACCGGCGCACGGGUGAGUAACACGUAUCCAACCUGCCCUUUACUCGGGGAUAGCCUUUCGAAAGAAAGAUUAAUACCCGAUAGCAUAAUGAUUCCGCAUGGUUUCAUUAUUAAAGGAUUCCGGUAAAGGAUGGGGAUGCGUUCCAUUAGGUUGUUGGUGAGGUAACGGCCCACCAAGCCUUCGAUGGAUAGGGGUUCUGAGAGGAAGGUCCCCCACAUUGGAACUGAGACACGGUCCAAACUCCUACGGGAGGCAGCAGUGAGGAAUAUUGGUCAAUGGGCGCUAGCCUGAACCAGCCAAGUAGCGUGAAGGAUGAAGGCUCUAUGGGUCGUAAACUUCUUUUAUAUAAGAAUAAAGUGCAGUAUGUAUACUGUUUUGUAUGUAUUAUAUGAAUAAGGAUCGGCUAACUCCGUGCCAGCAGCCGCGGUAAUACGGAGGAUCCGAGCGUUAUCCGGAUUUAUUGGGUUUAAAGGGAGCGUAGGUGGACUGGUAAGUCAGUUGUGAAAGUUUGCGGCUCAACCGUAAAAUUGCAGUUGAUACUGUCAGUCUUGAGUACAGUAGAGGUGGGCGGAAUUCGUGGUGUAGCGGUGAAAUGCUUAGAUAUCACGAAGAACUCCGAUUGCGAAGGCAGCUCACUGGACUGCAACUGACACUGAUGCUCGAAAGUGUGGGUAUCAAACAGGAUUAGAUACCCUGGUAGUCCACACAGUAAACGAUGAAUACUCGCUGUUUGCGAUAUACAGUAAGCGGCCAAGCGAAAGCAUUAAGUAUUCCACCUGGGGAGUACGCCGGCAACGGUGAAACUCAAAGGAAUUGACGGGGGCCCGCACAAGCGGAGGAACAUGUGGUUUAAUUCGAUGAUACGCGAGGAACCUUACCCGGGCUUAAAUUGCAGUGGAAUGAUGUGGAAACAUGUCAGUGAGCAAUCACCGCUGUGAAGGUGCUGCAUGGUUGUCGUCAGCUCGUGCCGUGAGGUGUCGGCUUAAGUGCCAUAACGAGCGCAACCCUUAUCUUCAGUUACUAACAGGUCAUGCUGAGGACUCUGGAGAGACUGCCGUCGUAAGAUGUGAGGAAGGUGGGGAUGACGUCAAAUCAGCACGGCCCUUACGUCCGGGGCUACACACGUGUUACAAUGGGGGGUACAGAAGGCAGCUAGCGGGUGACCGUAUGCUAAUCCCAAAAGCCUCUCUCAGUUCGGAUCGAAGUCUGCAACCCGACUUCGUGAAGCUGGAUUCGCUAGUAAUCGCGCAUCAGCCACGGCGCGGUGAAUACGUUCCCGGGCCUUGUACACACCGCCC
Molecule: ribosomal RNA, 1383 nt
Filed under: uncultured bacterium
Lineage: Bacteria
Description: bacterial SSU rRNA
Rfam family: Bacterial small subunit ribosomal RNA
Source: RNAcentral